UAGGGAAUCUUCGGCAAUGGACGAAAGUCUGACCGAGCAACGCCGCGUGAGUGAAGAAGGUUUUCGGAUCGUAAAACUCUGUUGUUAGAGAAGAACAAGGACGUUAGUAACUGAACGUCCCCUGACGGUAUCUAACCAGAAAGCCACGGCUAACUACGUGCCAGCAGCCGCGGUAAUAUGUAGGUGGCAAGCGUUGUCCGGAUUUAUUGGGCGUAAAGCGAGCGCAGGCGGUUUCUUAAGUCUGAUGUGAAAGCCCCCGGCUCAACCGGGGAGGGUCAUUGGAAACUGGGAGACUUGAGUGCAGAAGAGGAGAGUGGAAUUCCAUGUGUAGCGGUGAAAUGCGUAGAUAUAUGGAGGAACACCAGUGGCGAAGGCGGCUCUCUGGUCUGUAACUGACGCUGAGGCUCGAAAGCGUGGGGAGCAAACAGG
RNAcentral lists this ribosomal RNA (429 nucleotides) under Acidobacteriota bacterium. RNAcentral describes it as "Acidobacteria bacterium partial 16S ribosomal RNA". It matches the Rfam family "Bacterial small subunit ribosomal RNA", at positions 355 to 776 of the family's 1533-position model. The record is from RNAcentral. RNAcentral also lists the same sequence under 1 other name. Lineage: Bacteria; Pseudomonadati; Acidobacteriota.